GAUGAAGAACGUAGUGAAAUGCGAUAACUAAUGUGAAUUGCAGAAUUCAGUGAAUCAUCGAGUCUUUGAACGCACAUUGCGCCCUCUGGUAUUCCGGAGGGCAUGCCUGUCCGAGCGUCAUUGCUGCCCUCAAGCACGGCUUGUGUGUUGGGCCUCCGUCCUCCUCCCGGGGGACGGGCCCGAAAGGCAGCGGCGGCACCGCGUCCGGUCCUCGAGCGUAUGGGGCUUCGUCACCCGCUCUUGUAGGCCCGGCCGGCGCUUGCCGACACAUCAAUCUUUUUUCCAGGUUGACCUCGGAUCAGGUAGGGAUACCCGCUGAACUUAAGCAUAUCAAUAAGCGGAGGA
Molecule: unclassified non-coding RNA, 345 nt
Filed under: soil metagenome
Description: partial contains 5.8S ribosomal RNA, internal transcribed spacer 2, and large subunit ribosomal RNA
Rfam family: 5.8S ribosomal RNA (bases 1-120)
Source: RNAcentral